Long non-coding RNA from Lactuca sativa (garden lettuce), 565 nucleotides. RefSeq lists it as uncharacterized. The record is from RefSeq and is a predicted model, not a curated record. NCBI's taxonomy places the organism in Eukaryota, Viridiplantae, Streptophyta, Magnoliopsida, Asterales, Asteraceae.
UCCAAUUCCCACGAUUCACUUCCACUGUUUCCAUCUCUUCGAGAAGCACAGCCGACUCUUCGUACUUCGGUCACGUUCACGCUUCACAUAAUCAAGGUUCAAGACAUUAAUGUCCCCCCUCUUUAAGAAUAAAACCAGUUUUCAAUCCUUGAUCCUAAACCCUAGAUAUUUGAUAUCGACACAGUUGUAUCAAGGUUCAAGAGUAAAUUUCAAUGGAUGAUCUUCCUUUUCCAGCACUAAAUCCCAACCCCAAUGUAGCGCAAGAUCAACAGGCUCACAACCAAACAUAAGAUUGGCAUUUGGAUUCAUUUUACAAAGAAAAAAAUUGAUGGAGUUCAUAAGGCCGUUUGCAACUUUUGCGGGAAAAAAUUGAGUGGAAAAAGCAAUAACGGCACUACACACUUGCAUUAUCAUUACAAGCUUUGUGGAUCCAAACAUUCUAGAUUUUGAUAUAUACGAGUGAAAUUAAAAAUUGUUAUUUUUAUAUUAGUUUCUUAAUAAACAUGAAAUUGUCGUUAUUUUUUGUAUUUUGUGUCUAUGAGAAUGAAGCAUUAACUUUUAAGUA